UACGUAGGGUGCAAGCGUUGUCCGGAAUCAUUGGGCGUAAAGUGUGCGCAGGCGGCUCCGCAAGUCGAGUGUGAAAUCCCCGGGCUUAACCUGGGAACUGCGUUUGAAACUGGAAGGCUAGAGUGUGGCAGAGGGGGGUGGAAUUCCACGUGUAGCAGUGAAAUGCGUAGAGAUGUGGAGGAACACCGAUGGCGAAGGCAGCCCCCUGGGCUAACACUGACGCUCAUGCACGAAAGCGUGGGGAGCAAACAGG
RNAcentral lists this ribosomal RNA (253 nucleotides) under uncultured bacterium. RNAcentral describes it as "partial 16S ribosomal RNA". It matches the Rfam family "Bacterial small subunit ribosomal RNA", at positions 524 to 776 of the family's 1533-position model. The record is from RNAcentral.